UCUGAUAUGGUGUAAUGGUAGCAUGUCUGACUGUCUCUCAGAAGAUCUGGGUUCAAUUCCUGGUAUCAGAG
RNAcentral lists this transfer RNA (71 nucleotides) under Seminavis robusta. It matches the Rfam family "tRNA". Rfam says of the family: Transfer RNA (tRNA) molecules are approximately 80 nucleotides in length. Their secondary structure includes four short double-helical elements and three loops (D, anti-codon, and T loops). The record is from Rfam by way of RNAcentral. Lineage: Eukaryota; Bacillariophyta; Bacillariophyceae; Naviculales; Naviculaceae.